AGUGAACGCUGGCGGUAGGCCUAACACAUGCAAGUCGAACGGCAGCACAGUAAGAGCUUGCUCUUACGGGUGGCGAGUGGCGGACGGGUGAGGAAUACAUCGGAAUCUACUUUUUCGUGGGGGAUAACGUAGGGAAACUUAUGCUAAUACCGCAUACGACCUACGGGUGAAAGCAGGGGAUCUUCGGACCUUGCGCGAUUGAAUGAGCCGAUGUCGGAUUAGCUAGUUGGCGGGGUAAAGGCCCACCAAGGCGACGAUCCGUAGCUGGUCUGAGAGGAUGAUCAGCCACACGGGAACUGAGAAACGGUCCAGACUCCUACAGGAGGCAGCAGUGGGGAAUAUUGGACAAUGGGCGCAAGCCUGAUCCAGCCAUACCGCGUGGGUGAAGAAGGCCUUCGGGUUGUAAAGCCCUUUUGUUGGGAAAGAAAAGCAGCAGGUUAAUACCCCGCUGUUCUGACGGUACCCAAAGAAUAAGCACCGGCUAACUUCGUG
RNAcentral lists this ribosomal RNA (492 nucleotides) under uncultured bacterium. RNAcentral describes it as "partial 16S ribosomal RNA". It matches the Rfam family "Bacterial small subunit ribosomal RNA", at positions 29 to 507 of the family's 1533-position model. The record is from RNAcentral.